GACGAACGCUGGCGGCGUGCCUAAUACAUGCAAGUCGAGCGCAGGAAACCGUUCCGAACCCUUCGGGGGGACGACGGUGGAAUGAGCGGCGGACGGGUGAGUAACACGUAAAGAACCUGCCCAUAGGUCUGGGAUAACCACGAGAAAUCGGGGCUAAUACCGGAUGUGUCAUCGGACCGCAUGGUCCGCUGAUGAAAGGCGCUCCGGCGUCGCCCAUGGAUGGCUUUGCGGUGCAUUAGCUAGUUGGUGGGGUAACGGCCCACCAAGGCGACGAUGCAUAGCCGACCUGAGAGGGUGAUCGGCCACACUGGGACUGAGACACGGCCCAGACUCCUACGGGAGGCAGCAGUAGGGAAUCUUCCACAAUGGACGAAAGUCUGAUGAAGCAACGCCGCGUGAACGAUGAAGGCUUUCGGGUCGUAAAGUUCUGUUGUAAGGGAAGAACAAGUGCCGCAGGCAAUGGCGGCACCUUGACGGUACCUUGCGAGAAAGCCACGGCUAACUACGUGCCAGCCGCCGCAGUAA
This 525-nucleotide ribosomal RNA is filed under the name uncultured bacterium. Its description in RNAcentral is "partial 16S ribosomal RNA". It matches the Rfam family "Bacterial small subunit ribosomal RNA", at positions 28 to 523 of the family's 1533-position model. The record is from RNAcentral.